This 72-nucleotide transfer RNA is filed under the name Procambarus clarkii (red swamp crayfish). RNAcentral's name for it is "transfer RNA glutamine (anticodon CUG)". It matches the Rfam family "tRNA". Rfam says of the family: Transfer RNA (tRNA) molecules are approximately 80 nucleotides in length. Their secondary structure includes four short double-helical elements and three loops (D, anti-codon, and T loops). The record is from RNAcentral. Lineage: Eukaryota; Metazoa; Arthropoda; Malacostraca; Decapoda; Cambaridae.
UGUCCCAUGGUAUAAUGGUUAGCACUUUGGACUCUGAAUCCAACAAUCCGAGUUCGAGUCUCGGUGGGACCU